This 504-nucleotide ribosomal RNA is filed under the name Agroiconota bivittata. Its description in RNAcentral is "partial 16S ribosomal RNA". It matches the Rfam family "Bacterial large subunit ribosomal RNA", at positions 1819 to 2600 of the family's 2925-position model. Lineage: Eukaryota; Metazoa; Arthropoda; Insecta; Coleoptera; Chrysomelidae. The record is from RNAcentral.
GUCCUCUUGAUUAUAAUUAGAGGUCUGACCUGCCCUAUGAAUAUUAAAUGGCCGCAGUAAUUUGACUGUGCUAAGGUAGCAUAAUAAUUAGUUUCUUAAUUAGAAGCUUGUAUGAAUGGUUUGAUGAAAAAAAUACUGUCUUUUUAGUAAAUUUAGAAUUUUAUUUUUAAGUAAAAAAGCUUAAAUGAUUUCAGGGGACGAGAAGACCCUAUAGAAUUUUAUAAAUUUUUAAUUAUUAUUUUUAGAAUUAACUUUUUUGAUUAAUUAAUUUAUUUGAUUGGGGUGAUUGAAAAAUUUAAUGAACUUUUUUUAUUAUUAAACAAUAAUUAUUGAAUAGCUGAUCCAUAAUAAUGAUUAAAAGAAUAAAUUACCUUAGGGAUAACAGCGUAAUAACUUUUUAAAGUUCUUAUUGAAAAAGUUGUUUGCGACCUCGAUGUUGGAUUAGAAUUUCUUUUUGGUGCAGUAGCUAAAAAAGUAGGUCUGUUCGACCUUUAAAAUUCUACA